AUGGAGGAACUCUCUUGUUCCGAUUGUCAUGGUCACGGCACAGACGCCAACAGCCUUAACAGAGGUUUGGGGUUGUUCGGCAGAGAGAAGUCGGUGGCUUUUCUGCACGAAUACGGGAGCAGCAGGGUUUUUGUACGGCCACUAAACCUGUUUGUAUCACUGUGCUCUCCUUUUGGUGGAGGAACCAAACUGUCUGUGGGCCGUGUCACUCAGCCCAGUGUGACGGUGUUGCCUCCCUCCAGUGUGGAGCUGCAGCAGGAGAAGGUCACACUCAUGUGUGUGGCUGACAAGGGCUUCCCCUCGGACUGGACACUGAGCUGGAAGGUUGAUGGGAGCAGCUGGAGCUCGGGGGAGAGCCGCAGCACCGCCGUUCUGCACGUGGACGGCCUCUACAGCUGGAGCAGCACGCUGAGCCUCCACCCAGAGCAGUGGAGGAACAAGGUGGUGACCUGUGAGGCCUCCAAAGACACCCAACCUACUGUGGUGAGCACAGUGGACACAGAGCAGUGCUCAGACCUGUGAGCUCACACACACUUUACUCAGCUCACCUUCUACUGCUUCACUGUGUGUUACAUGUGGCCUUUACCUGCCUCAGUUUGACUCAGCUUUUCUUCUUAACAUCAAAUAUUUGUUGUAUCACUGCAAUGUCCUGCUUUGAAUUAUUAAUAAAGUUCUUUGAAUCAUUAAA
Non-coding RNA from Neoarius graeffei (lesser salmon catfish), 688 nucleotides. The record is from the annotation of a RefSeq genome assembly. Lineage: Eukaryota; Metazoa; Chordata; Actinopteri; Siluriformes; Ariidae.